RNAcentral lists this ribosomal RNA (490 nucleotides) under Sympetrum eroticum eroticum. RNAcentral describes it as "partial 16S rRNA". The record is from RNAcentral. Lineage: Eukaryota; Metazoa; Arthropoda; Insecta; Odonata; Libellulidae.
AAGAAUUUAAAGGUCGAACAGACCUAUAAAUUAAGCGGCUACACCUAAUUAUUAUCUUAAUCCAACAUCGAGGUCGCAAGCCCUCCUGUAAAUAUGAACUCUGGAGGAGGAUUACGCUGUUAUCCCUAAGGUAACUUACUCUAGCAAUCACUAAAAAUGGAUCUAAAAAUCAUACAUCAAUGGUAAAUAAAUGAAAAAGUUAAUUAUAUAUUUUUGUCACCCCAACAAAAUAUAAUUUUACUACAAUUAUGUUAAUAUAUAAAUAAAUACAAAAAAUUAUAUAAAGAUCUAUAGGGUCUUCUCGUCUUCCAAUAUUAUUUUAGCUUUUUAACUAAAAAAUUAAAUUUUAAAACAAAUAAAAUGAGACAGUCAAUUCCUCGUUAAACCGUUCAUUCCAGCCCUCUAUUAAAAGACUAAUGAUUAUGCUACCUUUGCACGGUCAAUAUACCGCGGCCGUUAAAUUCAUCACUGGGCAGGUCAGACCUUAAAU